UCGGGAGUGCCCUCGUGGCUUAACCUGCAACCCAAUGUUUAAUCAACCCUUGUUUCUUUGGCGGGCUCGCCCGUCAGAAGAAUUCUCAAACUCGUUAAAACGUGUCAUCUGAAAAAACAAAAUAAAUAAAAGCA
This 134-nucleotide unclassified non-coding RNA is filed under the name uncultured Lecanoromycetes. RNAcentral's name for it is "sequence contains ITS1". The record is from RNAcentral. Lineage: Eukaryota; Fungi; Ascomycota; Lecanoromycetes.